UACGUAGGUGGCAAGCGUUGUCCGGAUUUAUUGGGUUUAAAGGGUGCGUAGGCGGUCCUAUAAGUCAGUGGUGAAAUACGGCAGCUUAACUGUCGAGGUGCCAUUGAUACUGGUGAACUUGAGUACUGAUGAGGUAGGCGGAAUGGACGGUGUAGCGGUGAAAUGCUUAGAGAUCGUCCAGAACACCGAUAGCGAAGGCAGCUUACUAAGGAGUAACUGACGCUGAGGCACGAAAGUGUGGGGAUCAAACAGG
Molecule: ribosomal RNA, 253 nt
Filed under: uncultured bacterium
Lineage: Bacteria
Description: partial 16S ribosomal RNA
Rfam family: Bacterial small subunit ribosomal RNA
Source: RNAcentral